Molecule: long non-coding RNA, 663 nt
Organism: Nicotiana attenuata
Lineage: Eukaryota; Viridiplantae; Streptophyta; Magnoliopsida; Solanales; Solanaceae
Exons: 2
Source: RefSeq, a predicted model, not a curated record
UUGACUUGGCAAACUGAUAGUAGAAGAAUUUGAGAAGCCCACUUGGUUGGGGACGCCUUGGACAGUGUAUUUCUUUUCCCCAAUUUUGGAGUUUUUUUUACGACUAGAGAGAGAAGCAAAAGCAGAAGCAGAAGCAGAAGCUGAAGGAAGAAGGAUGAUACACAGGAAAUGGAGUUUGCUGACAGGCCCCGCUGCUAUUCUCGGCGGUAUCGUCGGUACUAUCGUCGUCGCCAAUUUUAUCUUCGUCCAAAAUGAUCCGUUCCUUAAGCCCGAUCGGAAGCAGGAGAAGGCACCUUCAAACAAGUGAGAAAUGCGUGUGAUUUUCUUGGGUUUGGGGUUUUCUGUUGGUUUGAUUUGUCACUACAUUACGGCCCAAUAAACUCAAAUUUUGAGCAUCAGCUUGAAUGUAGGUUUUCUUUUGUUGGCUUUCUUUCUGUACUCUUUCUCUUCACAGAAUAUGAAAAACAAGAGUCCUAGGUUGGGAACUGGUCAUCUCCUGUUUCGUGAUGCUUUAUUCAGGAUAUGAAUAGAAUAAAAUGUGGAGAUGCGACAAAUCUGAUAUUGUGCAGAAAGCAAGACAGGUGCUGUUGCAUUAUAGGUUGGCGAAAGACGAGCUUGUUUAUUAUCAAAUUUACCUUUAUCGUAAUACUUAUUUUUUAUUUU